GAUGAACGCUGGCGGCGUGCCUAAUACAUGCAAGUCGAGCGAACGGACGAGAAGCUUGCUUCUCUGAUGUUAGCGGCGGACGGGUGAGUAACACGUGGAUAACCUACCUAUAAGACUGGGAUAACUUCGGGAAACCGGAGCUAAUACCGGAUGAUAUUUUGAACCGCAUGGUUCAAAAGUGAAAGACGGUCUUGCUGUAACUUAUAGAUGGAUCCGCGCUGCAUUAGCUAGUUGGUAAGUUAACGGCUUACCAAGGCAACGAGGCAUAUCCGACGUGUGGGAGGGGUCGGCCACCCUGGAGGUGAGCCACGGACCAGACGCCUACGGGAGGCAGCAGUAGGGAAUCUUCCGCAAUGGGCGAAAGCCUGACGGAGCAAGGCCGCGUGAGUGAUGAAGGUCUUCGGAUCGUAAAACUCUGUUAUUAGGGAAGAACAGAUGUGUAAGUAACUGUGCACAUCUUGACGGUACCUAAUCAGAAAGCCACGGCUAACUACGUG
Molecule: ribosomal RNA, 497 nt
Filed under: uncultured bacterium
Lineage: Bacteria
Description: partial 16S ribosomal RNA
Rfam family: Bacterial small subunit ribosomal RNA
Source: RNAcentral